GGGCCCGCACAAGCGGUGGAGCAUGUGGUUUAAUUCGUUACUAACCGAAGAACCUUACCCAGGCUUGACAUCCCCGGACAGCCCAUGAAAGUGGGUCUUCUCUCCCACAAGGAGAGACUGGGUGACAGGUGUUGCAUGGCUGUCGUCAGCUCGUGUCGUGAGAUGUUGGGUUAAGUCCCGCAACGAGCGCAACCCUCAUCGCAUGUUGCCAGCGUAAAGUCGGGCACUCUUGCGAAACUGCCCGUGUAAGCGGGAGGAAGGUGGGGAUGACGUCAAGUCGGCAUGGCCCUUACGCCUGGGGCUACACACAUGCUACAAUGGCCGGUAACAAAGGGCAGCAAGACCGCGAGGUGGAGCUAAUCCCAAAAACCCGGCCCCAGUUCGGAUUGCAGUCUGCAACUCGACUGCAUGAAGGCGGAAUCGCUAGUAACCGCAGAUCAGCUAUGCUGCGGUGAAUACGUUCCCGGGCCUU
Molecule: ribosomal RNA, 472 nt
Filed under: uncultured bacterium
Lineage: Bacteria
Description: bacterial SSU rRNA
Rfam family: Bacterial small subunit ribosomal RNA
Source: RNAcentral